CAGAAGUCGAGCAUCGCAUUCCAGGAC
This 27-nucleotide small RNA is filed under the name Bombyx mori (domestic silkworm). RNAcentral describes it as "ovarian small RNA-13093". The record is from RNAcentral. Lineage: Eukaryota; Metazoa; Arthropoda; Insecta; Lepidoptera; Bombycidae.